RNAcentral lists this ribosomal RNA (253 nucleotides) under uncultured bacterium. RNAcentral's name for it is "partial 16S ribosomal RNA". It matches the Rfam family "Bacterial small subunit ribosomal RNA", at positions 524 to 776 of the family's 1533-position model. The record is from RNAcentral.
UACGAGGGGGGCGAGCGUUGUUCGGAAUUAUUGGGCGUAAAGGGCGCGUAGGCGGUCGGAUAAGUCUUGUGUGAAAUCUUCGGGCUCAACUCGAAGUCUGCACAGGAAACUAUCUGGCUUGAGUGUGGGAGAGGUGAGUGGAAUUCCUGGUGUAGCGGUGAAAUGCGUAGAUAUCAGGAGGAACACCUGUGGCGAAAGCGGCUCACUGGACCACAACUGACGCUGAGGCGCGAAAGCUAGGGGAGCGAACAGG